GCCGGGCGUGGUGGCUCACGCCUGUAAUCCCAACACUGGCAGGCAGAGACGGGCGGAUCACCUGAGGUCAGGAGUUUGAGACCAGCCUGGCCAACAUGGUGAAAACCCGUCUCUA
Homo sapiens (human) is the source of this 115-nucleotide non-coding RNA. It matches the Rfam family "Metazoan signal recognition particle RNA". Rfam says of the family: The signal recognition particle (SRP) is a universally conserved ribonucleoprotein. It is involved in the co-translational targeting of proteins to membranes. The eukaryotic SRP consists of a 300-nucleotide 7S RNA and six proteins: SRPs 72, 68, 54, 19, 14, and 9. Lineage: Eukaryota; Metazoa; Chordata; Mammalia; Primates; Hominidae. The record is from Rfam.